UCCUUGUUUUGCUUUGCUUGUGUGUGUGGCUUUUGCUUUCCCUAUUCAACUGUCCUUAUCUCAACCUAAUCUUGUUAAAGAUUUAUUAAGUGACAGCUGCUCCCACACAGGCUACAUGACUUUUGAAGACUGAUCUACCCUGCUUAACCUGCCUUUUACAGGGUGAUAUGGUGCAAAAUAAGAGUUUCUACCCCAGAGCCAGCACAAGUAGGAUUUAAUAAUUGCUGCUUUCCUAAAAAUGCAUGAACUAGCAUUAAUGCUAAUGGUAGCAUCGGGGAAAUGAUCACUGUUUAUGUGUGUGGGGCUUGAUGUUAUUUAGAGACUUGGCAGAGCUGUGGCUUCUUUUCUAGCCCACCUUCAGAAAGUGGAAGCAAUGCAUAUUUUUUGCUUGUUGCCACGGAGGAGCCCCAUCUCUUCAUCCCUAUUAUUUUUUGGCUCCAAAAGUACUACAAAUGUCACUGAUUAAAACAAGCAUGGUACCUUCUUAGUAUGAUUUUGCAUUUCUUCUUCCUGCAGGCAAGAGAAUGAGUGCACUUGCUGUACACCCAAGCUCUGAAGGAGCAGUCCAGCAUUUGAGCACUGAGUGCCUACAGGCAGAGUGGGGUGUGCUCUGAAGGGUGCUGGUGUUUCAGAACGCAGCCUUCCUUCCAGCCUGUUCCUACAGAUACGUGGGGAAGACACCACAAGGAAAUGCAGGAAUGAAAAUGAUAAACAGAGCCAUGGACUGGGCACCUCUUCUGCUGCCCAGGGAUCCCCAAUCCAGUGCACAAGGAAAACAGCAGAAAGCAGACACUUCUGCCUUGUGGAUUUACCCCAUUUAUUGAAGGCAAACAGAUGGCAAAUAACUGGAACACAGAAAAGUUGUAAUCUGACUUUGGCCUCUGAUUUUCCUGUGUGAUUGACACCACAAUGAAGGAAAAAAAAAUUUGUGUAUUAAAAAAAAAAAACAGUGAGAGGAUUAAAAGAAUGUUG
This is a long non-coding RNA of Corvus hawaiiensis (hawaiian crow), 972 nucleotides long. RefSeq lists it as uncharacterized. The transcript is spliced from 2 exons. Lineage: Eukaryota; Metazoa; Chordata; Aves; Passeriformes; Corvidae. The record is from RefSeq and is a predicted model, not a curated record.